GACUACGGUCAAACUGCUCUGAAUAAGCCCGAUCCUACUAGAUUUUGGGAGGUAAGCAGGGAUGGGCCCAGGAUGUUCUUGGACGGGAGACCGCCAGGGCAUACUGGGUGCUUGUAGGCC
RNAcentral lists this ribosomal RNA (120 nucleotides) under Anolis carolinensis (green anole). The record is from RNAcentral. Lineage: Eukaryota; Metazoa; Chordata; Lepidosauria; Squamata; Anolidae.